GUUGACUGUUGGGCAAUGUUAUGGAGGCUUAAUAAAAUGUGUACACAGUACAGUGUACACUAUACAACAAUAAACAAUUGUAAACAAUAAUAUUUUCUAAAUAAUCAACAACGAAAUGGUUAAAAGUAUAAGUAUUAAUAAAAAACCAAUAUACCUAAUAAUAAAUUACUACUUGAACAAGUACCAGUAGCAAAUGAUGACAAAAAUAAAAAUAAACAAAGUGCCUCUGAAAAAUGGGAGAUCUGAUAGAAUAAAUGAUCAUGAUAAUCCUAAAAAAUUGAAUAAAUUAGUCAUCAAUAUUUAUAUACCUAAAAAAAACAUUCAUAAAAAAAUAGAUAUUACGUCAAGUACAUAUAAUGGAGUAUCAAUAUAUCAAGUUUAACAACAACAACACAACAACAACACCACCUUUAGCAGCAUCACCAAAUGCUAGUAAAAAAUUGAUACUCAAAAUACCAUUUGAUAAAUAAAAAUUUAGAAAUAAUCAUAGGUAUAUUGUGAGAUCAUAAAUAUCAGAAUAUUUUGGUGUUUCAAAAAUUCUGGGUGAAAAUCAAAUUGAAGAAAGCAAUGCUGUAUAUAUAUAUAUCAAGAUCAAUCAUGUUUUAUUUUCGAAACAACAAGAUAUAACUAUCAACUACCUGAUGCUUUGACAUAUUGUCACAAUAAAAAUGACUUUAUUCCAGGAAAUUUAACUUUUGAUAAAGAUGGUGAAUUAAAAAUUUAUGUUUUCAAAUGGUCUAUACAUGCAUCAUCUAGAAGCAAUAUAUUGUGUGGUGUAUUGAAUUAUUUACCACCAGAAAUGAUUUUCAGUAAUUUACAUGAUGUUGAGUUAUGGAGUGUUAGAGUAUUAUAUGAUGAUAUAGGCAAUCUACCUUGUGUUAUGUUAUGUUACCUAAAAGUUAUGAUAAUACAGAUGAAAAAAUUAUCAAAGCACAAUAUACACAGCGAUUUUAUGUUAGUAAGGGUGCUCGUGAUUUAGUUUCAAAGAUUGAAAACAUUGUGUUGAAUGAUGUACUUGAUUUGAUUUGAUUUCUUGAACAUCAGAAAAAAAUGGGUACAUAAGAACAUGAGAAGCAAAUAAUUUAUUGAUGGUGAAACAAGAAAUUUAUCUAAUAUAGUUGCUGUUGGUAGAUUUCAUCCUGGUUUAUUAGCACUUUCACUUGGUACAACUACCCCACGACAACUAAGCAUUGAAUUCAUACGAAGACGUGGAUUAGAUGCAAAAUUUAUUUUCAUCGAAUAAAGAUUUUUAAAUUAUUUAAAUUAUCAUUUUGUUUUAUUUAAAAUAAUUAUAAAUAUAUUUUUUAUAUUUUGUCAGAACAACAAUUGUAUUUUACCAAAAAAAUUAGUUGCUGCCAGCUAUUAUAAUUGAGACGCUUUAUUAAAUUUCACUGAAUCACAAAAACGUGUUCUAUCAA
Molecule: long non-coding RNA, 1418 nt
Organism: Aphidius gifuensis
Lineage: Eukaryota; Metazoa; Arthropoda; Insecta; Hymenoptera; Braconidae
Exons: 4
Source: RefSeq, a predicted model, not a curated record